RNAcentral lists this unclassified non-coding RNA (387 nucleotides) under soil metagenome. RNAcentral's name for it is "partial contains 5.8S ribosomal RNA, internal transcribed spacer 2, and large subunit ribosomal RNA". The stretch from base 1 to 120 matches the Rfam family "5.8S ribosomal RNA", at positions 35 to 154 of the family's 154-position model. The record is from RNAcentral.
GAUGAAGAACGCAGCGAAAUGCGAUAAGUAAUGUGAAUUGCAGAAUUCAGUGAAUCAUCGAAUCUUUGAACGCGCCUUGCACCCUUUGGCAUUCCGAAGGGUAUGCUCGUUUGAGUGUCAUUGUACUCUCACACUCUCCGAUCCUAUGGAUUCGGGGAGCGGUGGACUUGGGUGUUGCUGCCUUUCCUUGUGGCUCACCUCAAAUGUGUCAGUGCACCUCUUGGUUGGACAUAGUACGGCGUGAUAAGUGUCUUCGCCGGCACCUCGCAAGAGGGUGGCCGAUCGGGAGCUCUGUGCUUUCAAACCGUCUUCGGACAAUUUCUGACAACUUGACCUCAAAUCGAGUAGGACUACCCGCUGAACUUAAGCAUAUCAAUAAGCGGAGGA